RNAcentral lists this ribosomal RNA (744 nucleotides) under uncultured bacterium. Its description in RNAcentral is "bacterial SSU rRNA". It matches the Rfam family "Bacterial small subunit ribosomal RNA", at positions 8 to 796 of the family's 1533-position model. The record is from RNAcentral.
AGAGUUUGAUCAUGGCUCAGAACGAACGCUGGCGGCAGGCCUCAAACAUGCAAGUCUAGGGGGUGUAGCAAUACAUCACCGGCGGACGGGUGCGUAACGCGUGGGAAUGUACCUAUUGGUUCGGAACAACUGAGGGAAACUUCAGCUAAUACCGGAUGAGCCCGAAAGGGGAAAGAUUUCUCGCCAAUAGAUCAGCCCGCGUCCGAUUAGCUAGUUGGUGGGGUUAUGGCCUACCAAGGCGACGAUCGGUAGCUGUUCUGAGAGGAAGAUCAGCCACACUGGGACUGAGACACGGCCCAGACUCCUACGGGAGGCAGCAGUUGGGAAUCUUGGACAAUGGGGGAAACCCUGAUCCAGCCAUGCCGCGUGAGUGAUGAAGGCCUUCGGGUUGUAAAACUCUUUCGACGGGGACGAUAAUGACGGUACCCGUAGAAGAAGCUCCGGCUAACUUCGUGCCAGCAGCCGCGGUAAUACGAAGGGGGCUAGCGUUGUUCGGAAUUACUGGGCGUAAAGCGCGCGCAGGCGGUCUUCCAAGUCAGUGGUGAAAGCCCGGAGCUCAACUCCGGAACUGCCAUUGAAACUGUGAGCCUUGAGUACGAGAGAGGUGAGUGGAAUUCCCAGUGUAGAGGUGAAAUUCGUAGAUAUUGGGAAGAACACCGGUGGCGAAGGCGGCUCACUGGCUCGUAACUGACGCUCAGGCGCGACAGCGUGGGGAUCAAACAGGAUUAGAUACCCUAGUAGUCC